This is a long non-coding RNA of Alnus glutinosa, 771 nucleotides long. RefSeq lists it as uncharacterized. Lineage: Eukaryota; Viridiplantae; Streptophyta; Magnoliopsida; Fagales; Betulaceae. The record is from RefSeq and is a predicted model, not a curated record. The transcript is spliced from 4 exons.
CUUGACCUCACUUGUGAAAACAAAAGGCAUUCGGUUCCUAGGAAUUAAAACCGCAAGUCUCUUUUUGUUUCCCCUCUUUGUUUCACUCCAGCCCUCAUUCUCUCCACCCUACACGUGAGCUCAGCCCUCUCCCAACUCUCAUCUCUUCAACACGUGAAGCUUGGCAUGGGUAUGAGUUGGAUUUCUCAUUGAAGACAAGGAACAAUUAAGGGUUUAAAGGGCUGAAACCAUAGCUUGAGAUUUGAGCAUGGGUCUUGCUUCCUAGUGAAAGUUUCCAUCAUUUUCAAGCUUUGAGUAACGAUUAUCAACAUCAAAGGUCUGAUUUAUCGAGUAUCUUGAGUGGUUCAUCGCAAGACGUUGUCUAGGAAUCUAUAGUUGAGCGUGUUAUCCGCACAGCCAAGACAUUGAUGUUUUGGUUGCAGGUUCUGUGGAUAUAGAUAUUGACUCGUCCACCUAGCGUAUGGGAUGCUAUGAUUGGAGCACAUCGCGCCAGUCAUAAAUCACGGACUCAUGGGUAGUCUGUAUUUUGGGUAUUUUAUUUGUGGCUCGUGUCCUACGUGGUUUACGUAUUUGAUGAGCCUGUAUUUUGAUAUGUAAUUAUAGUAAAAUGUUUUAUAAGCUUUAAUCAGUUAGACAUGUAAACGACUCUUGUUGUUGAUAACAGUUAUGUAUUAGAUGUAUUUCAGCUAUUGAUAUAUGUUCCGCUACACAUUGAUUAUUAUAUUCCGCUGUGUUAGAUGUAACUCUGAAUAUCAGGUACAUGUUAUGGAA